This 652-nucleotide ribosomal RNA is filed under the name uncultured bacterium. RNAcentral describes it as "bacterial SSU rRNA". The stretch from base 1 to 550 matches the Rfam family "Bacterial small subunit ribosomal RNA", at positions 338 to 873 of the family's 1533-position model. The record is from RNAcentral.
CCUACGGGAGGCAGCAGUGGGGAAUUUUGGACAAUGGGCGCAAGCCUGAUCCAGCAAUGCCGCGUGCAGGAAGAAGGCCUUCGGGUUGUAAACUGCUUUUGUCAGGGAAGAAAUCCUCUAGGCUAAUACCCUUGGGGGGAUGACGGUACCUGAAGAAUAAGCACCGGCUAACUACGUGCCAGCAGCCGCGGUAAUACGUAGGGUGCAAGCGUUAAUCGGAAUUACUGGGCGUAAAGCGUGCGCAGGCGGCUUUGCAAGACAGAUGUGAAAUCCCCGGGCUCAACCUGGGAACUGCAUUUGUGACUGCAAGGCUAGAGUACGGUAGAGGGGGAUGGAAUUCCGCGUGUAGCAGUGAAAUGCGUAGAUAUGCGGAGGAACACCAAUGGCGAAGGCAAUCCCCUGGACCUGUACUGACGCUCAUGCACGAAAGCGUGGGGAGCAAACAGGAUUAGAUACCCUGGUAGUCCACGCCCUAAACGAUGUCACUGGUUGUUGGACGGUCUUGUCUGUUCGUAGUAACGAACGACGUACGACGUGUAGUUAGACCGCCGUCGGGGUAGGUACGGUUCCGGACGUAAGGUUAGGUUAAACGUUAAAGGUUAAGUUAGGACGGCGUUGGAGACGNGCCGACGGACGACGACGAGGGAGGAGG